Molecule: long non-coding RNA, 1133 nt
Organism: Magnolia sinica
Lineage: Eukaryota; Viridiplantae; Streptophyta; Magnoliopsida; Magnoliales; Magnoliaceae
Exons: 2
Source: RefSeq, a predicted model, not a curated record
GAGAAGGUUCUUUGUUUCCAGGCACUCGUUUGACUUGCCAUUUAGGUGUUUGGUGAAAUGUUUGAGUGAAGUUCUAUCCAUAAAUUUGAGAUAGUUUUGAUGCAUUGGCUUACUAGAGAUCUUACUAUGUGGUUGAAUUAUCUUAUUUUCAAAAUCAACCUACAAUCCUUUUGAAUUUCGUACAUGAUUGUAUUAGGCCACCAGGACAGUAUACACCUAGUAGUUGUGCAAUCAUUGAAAUGCCUAGGUGAAUGAUUUUGAUAGCUAUGAUGCACACACAUGCACAUUGCACUUAUUUUAUUAUUGCAUUUUUAUUCACAUAACCAUGUUCUUUUUUCCACCAUGCAAUCAUAUCAACCAAAAACCAGAAAUUAAGAAGAACCAAGUCCCCAUGUUUAAUCAGAUUUCAUUUGAAGUCAACAAAAGAAUCCUCAUUCUCAGAAAUUAGGCGGAAAUGAAAGAAACCCCACACUAUUUUACCAUCACAAAUUCAACAAAUUUUAUUUUUUUUUUGAUUCAAGUGUAGCUCAACCCAAAAGAUUGUAUAGCUCUGUUCAAGUUUUUAAGUUUUUACAAGUGGAGCCCAUGGUUCACUAAUCCAAAUAGAUGACUACAGUGGAUGCGGUGUCCUCACCUUUUCAUGGUGUUCAACAAAUAGAUGUCUAAUAAAGAAAAAACAGCAAGAGUCCACGCCAUUAUACCAUUCACAUAUCUUUAGUCAAGGAAGUAACCUAUCAUUCCUCGGGAAGAAAUAGGGACAACUGUCACAGCUCCGUAUUCAAAAAACUGUUUCAAAUGCAAUACCCAAUAGUUAACAAGGUUUUAUGCUUGAAACAAAGGUAAUAUUUUUUUAUUUUUUAUUUUUUUUUAUUUUUUUGCUUUUCCUAUGUUGCUUUGCUAUUGAUUCCAUAUAGCUUUUUCUUUCUUCUUUAUAUAGUUUCUAUGAUGAUUUAUAUUUUUUUACAAGGUUUCUAGAGAAUAUAUGUGCGUAGGACCACUUCGGUCAGUUUCAUUCUCGAUUUCCAUACAAACAAGGAAAGAUGAUCUUAGAACUGUGGUGUCCUAUCUACAAAGCAACCCAAAAAUUUCCUGCAUAGGUCUUUGGGGACGAUCUAUGGGUGUACUGUCACAAG